CACAUGACCUGCUCCACAUGAUGUCAUUUCCUCCUGAAGAAAAGACUGGCCAGACUCCAAGGCUUUCUGAGUUAUUUAAUAUAAAGUAGUAUGUGAGUCAAGUGUGGAUUUAUGGCAUGUCAACAGGUUUACUACAAUAUCUUUAUAAAUAACUUUCAAUUUCAAUUUUACUCAACUGUAUAUAUAAUAUUUAGAAGAAUCUUUUUCUAAAAAUGCCAUGUGGUGUUCGGUUAUAGGCAGCCAUGUUGAUUUUAGGCCUGAAAACAGCAAAAAUGUCAACUAUGAUACCUGUCAACUAUGUUACAAAAAGUCCCGCAAUUAUAUAUUGACCCCACUGGUGACCGAGUUAUUAGUCUAAUAACUUAACAUAAAAAUCUGACAGAUGCCAUAAAAGAGAACAUUAUUAAGGGUUUGAAAGAGCUAGCAACACUUAUGUCAAUAAAAUAGUAUGUCACUAUUUGAUUUAUAGGUUAGCUCAGUCACUCAUAUGAGCAACACUGUAAAAUAAAAAAUAAAAAAACAGGUCAAAAACGGUCCGUGUACCUUCCGUUCAUUUUAUUUCUAAUUCUGAAACGCAAAUCGAAAAAUAUUUAGGGCCAUUUUUUCUAUUGUCAUUUCUGAAACAAAAAUCGGACAACUAUUUAAUGAUCCGUUUUUUAAACAAAAUAUUGCAUUUCUGACUCAAAUUUUAGUUUUCGGGGAAAGGCCUUAAUUUUCUCUUUUUCCAAUUUCAAUUUUCAAUUUUACGCUUUUCAGUCUGUGGCCCGGAAAUAAAUAAAUAAUCGCGCGGAUUGGUCCGUGUGUCAGGAAGGUCACGGUGCUAGUCUGGUCGACUUUGUGUCCGGCAAGAAUUUCUCGUACGCAAUGGAUUCUACCAGUUACAUCCUUUUUAAAGGAAACAAAAGGCUAACGCUUAGGGAGGACGACAUGAAUGGAGAUAAAAUCGCCAGAAUAUUCCAGGUAAGUAGCACUUUUUUCGUUUGUUUGGAGAACAUGCUAAGACCAAAGGAUGCUAUGCAUAGCACACGAAUAGCCGACUGAUUAAGGCUCCUUAAUGUUUUCUUUCCAAGGUAUAUGCUCCGAGCCUGUACAUAACCGAUGAUGACAACGUGGCGAUAUUCCCUGGUUCGGCUGGACAUUUCAGCUGCUUGGACCUUAAGCCUCGUGGCCACUAUGAGGUUCAUGGGGAUGAUAUUGCUCUACCAGUCGCCGAGCAGACUCCUCCAUUGUCAGGCCAGAACCGUUUCCAGUUCCACCGUUCAGCACAGCCCGGGGCUGCUCUAGGGUCACCUGCUCAGGCCAUUGCUCCCACUCCCCCCCGAGCAAGCAUGAGUAACACCUUCCAGAGGUCUGUUUUCAUUGCUGAGCUCAGCCAGGGGAAACUGAAGCCUGCCCGCAUGGUUGUACUCAGACUGUUUGAGUUUGAAGCCACAACCACAGGUAUCCUUGCAAAAUUACAUGAUGCCCUGUAGAGUGAUGACCCUCUCAUCCUGACUGAUGCCCAGGGAAAUGAGAUUGUGGACUCCGAAGGGACAAGAGGAUCCAAGUACUGGAAGCAAAAUGCAAAAAAGUUUCUUGCUGUCCCAGAGCAGAUCUUCCAUGAGUUCCAGCAAGGAACAAAGGGAAAGAAACUGAGCCAUAAAGAUAUGGACUCCACAAGUCUUCAGGGGGUCUAUGAUAAAAUAGAAGAAGUGAUCUUGGCUGCUCAAGGACUGAAUGAAGUCACCAGAGUCAUGAAGGACCUGUCAACACAUGCCAGCAACACCAGGGGUGCCAUGCUGGUUCUGACCAACACCAUGAUAACACACAUGAAGGAUGCCUUUGGUUGUAUUGUAUGCAAAGGGCUAAUGGAAGAGCCUGUGAUUGCCGUAUGCUGCAAAAGCUUUGUUGGCUGCAAAAACUGCGUUGACCAGUGGAUGCUGACAUCCGACCAGUGCCUCAAAUGCAGGGCAGAUGAGUUCUCUGUCAAUGUUCACAGGCUGACCAGUCUUGACAAUCUUCUCUCCAUAUUGGCUGGUGUAAUUAAGAUGGAUUAACCCUUUAAGUGUGAUUGCAUCACAUUCUGAUUUAAGCUUGAUCUGGCUAAUUGCCUUGUUCUAAAGUCAGUUGGAAUUUUGCACUUGUUCAAUAACUGUAGAGGAUACAGAAUAGUUUUAUUUUUAUACUUUUUUUGUAUUUCAUGUUGCACUUAGACCAAUAUUGCUAUUGUAGCAAUUUUAGCAAGUGUCCAAUUUUAUUUGUUAAAGCAAAGUAACAGAAUAUCUACUAUAU
Amphiprion ocellaris (clown anemonefish) is the source of this 2271-nucleotide long non-coding RNA. RefSeq lists it as uncharacterized. Lineage: Eukaryota; Metazoa; Chordata; Actinopteri; Pomacentridae. The record is from RefSeq and is a predicted model, not a curated record. The transcript has 5 exons.